This 634-nucleotide ribosomal RNA is filed under the name Rhizopus microsporus. RNAcentral's name for it is "partial large subunit ribosomal RNA". Lineage: Eukaryota; Fungi; Mucoromycota; Mucoromycetes; Mucorales; Rhizopodaceae. The record is from RNAcentral.
UACUACAAAUAGCUGCCUCCUUACCGGAGCACCUCARAAAGGAUUCCCAGCCGACUAGCCGUUUUCCAGGCAAGCCGGACCGAUAAGUCCUUUGGAACAGGGCAUCAUAGAGGGUGAGAAUCCCGUCUUCGGUCUGAGCAUUUGCCUUUUGCGAUACACUUUCAAAGAGUCAGGUUGUUUGGGAAUGCAGCCUAAAUUGGGUGGUAAAUCUCACCUAAAGCUAAAUAUUGGCGAGAAACCGAUAGCGAACAAGUACCGUGAGGGAAAGAUGAAAAGAACUUUGAAAAGAGAGUUAAACAGUAUGUGAAAUUGUUAAAAGGGAACCGUUUGGAGCCAGACUGGCUUGUCUGUAAUCAGUCUAAGCUUCGGCUUGGAUGCACUUGCAGGCUAUGCCUGCCAACGACAAUUUGGCUUGAGGGAAAAAACUAAGGGAAAUGUGGCCCAUCCGUGGGUGUUAUAGUCCCUUAGAAAAUACCUUGGGCUGGAUUGAGGUACGCAGCGAAUGCUAUUUGGCGAGUUGGCUGGGAAUAUUUUCUGAGGUGCUCCGGUACUGAGGUUGAUAUUUCUAGUUACACUUCUAUUCGCUUAGGUUGUUGGCUUAAUGACUCUAAAUGACCCGUCUUGAAACACGGAC